Molecule: non-coding RNA, 31 nt
Filed under: Mus musculus (house mouse)
Lineage: Eukaryota; Metazoa; Chordata; Mammalia; Rodentia; Muridae
Source: RNAcentral
UNGUAUUAGGUGCUGGGCCACACCACUCUUU